GAUGAACGCUAGCGGCAGGCUUAACACAUGCAAGUCGAGGGGUAUAGUAGCAAUACUAGAGACCGGCGCACGGGUGCGUAACGCGUAUGCAACCUACCUUUUACAGAGGGAUAGCCCCAGAGAAAUUUGGAUUAAUACCUCAUAGUGUUAUUAGAUGGCAUCAUUUGAUAACUAAAGUUCCAACGGUAAAGAUGGGCAUGCGUCCUAUUAGCUAGUUGGUAAGGUAACGGCUUACCAAGGCUACGAUGGGUAGGGGUCCUGAGAGGGAGAUCCCCCACACUGGUACUGAGACACGGACCAGACUCCUACGGGAGGCAGCAGUGAGGAAUAUUGGACAAUGGGCGCAAGCCUGAUCCAGCCAUGCCGCGUGCAGGAUGACGGUCCUAUGGAUUGUAAACUGCUUUUAUACAGGAAGAAACACUCCGACGUGUCGGAGCUUGACGGUACUGUAAGAAUAAGGAUCGGCUAAC
Molecule: ribosomal RNA, 470 nt
Filed under: uncultured bacterium
Lineage: Bacteria
Description: bacterial SSU rRNA
Rfam family: Bacterial small subunit ribosomal RNA
Source: RNAcentral